AUAUUUACCUGGCAGGAGACAUACCAUGAUCACUGAGGUGGUUUUCCAAGGGCAAGCCUUAUCCACCGCACUCUGGAUGCAAUGUGGGAAACUAGACUGCAUAGUCUGUGGUAGUGGGGACA
The sequence is a small nuclear RNA, 122 nucleotides long. Its record names the gene U1. It matches the Rfam family "U1 spliceosomal RNA". From Rfam's summary of the family: U1 is a small nuclear RNA (snRNA) component of the spliceosome (involved in pre-mRNA splicing). Its 5' end forms complementary base pairs with the 5' splice junction, thus defining the 5' donor site of an intron. The record is from Ensembl.